RNAcentral lists this ribosomal RNA (253 nucleotides) under uncultured bacterium. Its description in RNAcentral is "partial 16S ribosomal RNA". It matches the Rfam family "Bacterial small subunit ribosomal RNA", at positions 524 to 776 of the family's 1533-position model. The record is from RNAcentral.
UACGUAGGCAGCGAGCGUUGUUCGGAGUUACUGGGCGUAAAGGGUGUGUAGGCGGCUCCCUAAGUUUGGUGUGAAAUCUCCCGGCUCAACCGGGAGGGUGCGCCGAAAACUGGGGGGCUAGAGUGCGGGAUGGGAAAGUGGAAUUCCUGGUGUAGCGGUGAAAUGCGUAGAUAUCAGGAGGAACACCGAUAGCGAAGGCAGCUCGCUGGGACGGUACUGACGCUGAGGCGCGAAAGCGUGGGGAGCGAACAGG